This is a long non-coding RNA of Acomys russatus (golden spiny mouse), 791 nucleotides long. RefSeq lists it as uncharacterized. The transcript has 4 exons. The record is from RefSeq and is a predicted model, not a curated record. Lineage: Eukaryota; Metazoa; Chordata; Mammalia; Rodentia; Muridae.
CAUCACAGACUUCCCCCACGUGGACAGAGAGGUGUUUCCAGAGAAAUCUAACCCAGGCAGGAGGGGAACACCUUCCAGCAGGUGGUCCAGGAAAAAAAGUCUAAAGAAAAAGCAGUGUUGGUCACCUGCCAUCCCUUGGUCUGGAGCCAGUGUGUCCCCGUCUCUGCUGUCACUGACCUCUUCUGACGUCAGACUCAAGCCUCUUCAGCUGCUUUUAACAUGAACUGAACACCAGUGACUCAUCAGGAAUUUUCCAGACCUUCAGCACCAGAUUGAGACUGCUGAGGUGAUCAACUUUGUGGAUGAAACAGCAUCUCUAAUGUUGUGAAGUUAUGAACAUAGCAGAUGUGACAGUGAUGGAUUGCAGCUCCAUGUGAGGACACCCUCCAUAUUUGGAGGUGUGCAAAGGACACCCAGAAGCCUGUCAGCACUUCCAGAGACGCACCUACCUCCACACCACAAGACAUGGAUGAGUGGAAGACGCCCUGAGGCCAGCCCACUGCCACACAGCAUGGACAGGAUAUAGACAACCAGAGGCCCAGCCACCACCAGGCCACAUGGCAUGGGUGGGCAGAGGACAACCCAGAGACCACUGUGAUGUGCCAGUAUGUGGUGGACAGAUGGGAGAAAAGAAGUGGACCAGUUUGAGUAUUCUGAAGAGAGGUGGGACUGGAGACAAGAGGGUGAGGAAGACUAUCCUGUUGGAAGCAACCUGCUCCACCACCUGAGGCCAUGGUAAAGUCCCAGCCCAUGCUGCUGCAAGGGCCAUGUCUGAGUCCAAGGCCAUGGGG